AGUAACAACGAACUGUGAGGAGUCAGCAGAGGUCAUAGUACCUACUAAUAUCGACACGUAGGGAAGGAC
RNAcentral lists this non-coding RNA (69 nucleotides) under human gut metagenome. The record is from RNAcentral.